GAUGAACGCUGGCGGCGUGCCUAAUACAUGCAAGUCGAACGAGGUGCUUUUGUAGCCAUCCGAGAGUAUCCUAGUGGCGAACGGGUGAGUAACGCGUUGGUGACCUACCCCAAAGUGUGGAAUAACAGUCCGAAAGGAUUGCUAAUACCGCAUGUGGUUAUCGGGUUUAGAAACUGAUAACUAAAGGAGCAAUUCGCUUUGGGAGGGACCUGCGUCCCAUCAGCUAGUUGGUGAGGUAAUGGCUCACCAAGGCUACGACGGGUAGGGGACCUGAGAGGGUGACCCCCCACAAUGGAACUGAAACACGGUCCAUACACCUACGGGUGGCAGCAGUAGGGAAUAUUGCACAAUGGGCGAAAGCCUGAUGCAGCAACGCCGCGUGCACGAUGAAGGCCUUCGGGUCGUAAAGUGCUUUUCUGGGAGAUGAGAAAGGACAGUAGCCCAGGAAUAAGUCUCGGCUAACUACGUG
This 469-nucleotide ribosomal RNA is filed under the name uncultured bacterium. Its description in RNAcentral is "partial 16S ribosomal RNA". It matches the Rfam family "Bacterial small subunit ribosomal RNA", at positions 28 to 507 of the family's 1533-position model. The record is from RNAcentral.